GGUGCAAGCGUUAAUCGGAAUUACUGGGCGUAAAGCGUGCGCAGGCGGUUUUGUAAGACUGUCGUGAAAUCCCCGGGCUCAACCUGGGAAUGGCGAUGGUGACUGCAAGGCUAGAGUUUGGCAGAGGGGGGUAGAAUUCCACGUGUAGCAGUGAAAUGCGUAGAUAUGUGGAGGAACACCGAUGGCGAAGGCAGCCCCCUGGGUCAAAACUGACGCUCAUGCACGAAAGCGUGGGGAGCAAACAGGAUUAGAUACCCUGGUAGUCCACGCCCUAAACGAUGUCUACUAGUUGUCGGGUCUUAAUUGACUUGGUAACGCAGCUAACGCGUGAAGUAGACCGCCUGGGGAGUACGGUCGCAAGAUUAAAACUCAAAGGAAUUGACGGGGACCCGCACAAGCGGUGGAUGAUUUGGAUUAAUUCGAUGCAACCGAAAAACCUUACCUACCCUUGACAUGGCUGGAAUCCCUGA
This 470-nucleotide ribosomal RNA is filed under the name Ralstonia sp. CAFB-JP4-3. RNAcentral describes it as "bacterial SSU rRNA". It matches the Rfam family "Bacterial small subunit ribosomal RNA", at positions 531 to 1002 of the family's 1533-position model. Lineage: Bacteria; Pseudomonadati; Pseudomonadota; Betaproteobacteria; Burkholderiales; Burkholderiaceae. The record is from RNAcentral.